RNAcentral lists this ribosomal RNA (467 nucleotides) under uncultured bacterium. RNAcentral's name for it is "bacterial SSU rRNA". It matches the Rfam family "Bacterial small subunit ribosomal RNA", at positions 330 to 794 of the family's 1533-position model. The record is from RNAcentral.
GCCAGACUCCUACGGGAGGCAGCAGUGAGGAAUAUUGGUCAAUGGCCGAGAGGCUGAACCAGCCAAGUCGCGUGAAGGAUGACGGCCCUACGGGUUGUAAACUUCUUUUGUCAGGGAGCAAUUGGGUCCACGCGUGGGCUUAGCGAGAGUACCUGAAGAAAAAGCAUCGGCUAACUCCGUGCCAGCAGCCGCGGUAAUACGGAGGAUGCGAGCGUUAUCCGGAUUUAUUGGGUUUAAAGGGUGCGUAGGCGGAAUAUCAAGUCAGCGGUAAAAAUUCGGGGCUCAACCCCGUCGUGCCGUUGAAACUGGGGAUCUAGAGUGUGCGAGAGGUAUGCGGAAUGCGUGGUGUAGCGGUGAAAUGCAUAGAUAUCACGCAGAACCCCGAUUGCGAAGGCAGCAUACCGGUGCACAACUGACGCUCAGGCACGAAAGCGUGGGUAUCGAACAGGAUUAGAUACCCCCGUAAU